RNAcentral lists this ribosomal RNA (506 nucleotides) under uncultured bacterium. Its description in RNAcentral is "partial 16S ribosomal RNA". It matches the Rfam family "Bacterial small subunit ribosomal RNA", at positions 28 to 523 of the family's 1533-position model. The record is from RNAcentral.
GAUGAACGCUAGCUACAGGCUUAACACAUGCAAGUCGAGGGGUAACGAGAGGAAAGCUUGCUUUCCUUGUCGACGACCGGCGCACGGGUGAGUAACGCGUAUCCAACCUGCCCCCAACUAGGGAAUAACCUUGCGAAAGUAAGACUAAUACCCUAUAAUUUCCUCAGAUGUCAUCUGACGAGGAAUAAAGAUUUAUCGGUUGUGGAUGGGGAUGCGUCUGAUUAGCUUGUUGGCGGGGUAACGGCCCACCAAGGCAACGAUCAGUAGGGGUUCUGAGAGGAAGGUCCCCCACAUUGGAACUGAGACACGGUCCAAACUCCUACGGGAGGCAGCAGUGAGGAAUAGUGGUCAAUGGGCGGAAGCCUGAACCAGCCAAGUAGCGUGCAGGAUGACGGCCCUAUGGGUUGUAAACUGCUUUUGAAUGGGAAGAAUGUGCUUCUUGCGAGGGGUAAUGACGGUACCAUUAGAAUAAGCCACGGCUAACUACGUGCCAGCCGCCGCAGUAA